Molecule: long non-coding RNA, 729 nt
Filed under: Rattus norvegicus (Norway rat)
Lineage: Eukaryota; Metazoa; Chordata; Mammalia; Rodentia; Muridae
Description: long non-coding RNA NONRATT033555
Source: RNAcentral
GAAAGACACGGUUCAGUGUCUGUCUGUCAGAACCGUAUCUGCUGUUCAGGCUGACUCAUCUAGUCUGGAGGAGGGGCUAUCUUCAUUUCUAAUUGAGGCUGUGGAGUCCAGGGACGAGACCUGACUGACUUGUCUCAGAGGUACUUCCUGAACAGUCUUUCUCUCACCGUGGACCAAAGGUUUGGCCAGAGCUAUGUAGCUGUCAAGCUCUAGAGAAAAUGAGGGGCGUAUUUCUAAAAGGGCAGAGGGAAACAUAGCCAGAAGAGGCAGACAGGCGGAUGAAAAUAUCAAACGGUUCCAGCGUGCACUGAAGGAUCAGAUGUGUGGAGAGUAGAGGCCAGGGAGGGACUGACUGCAGGGGGAUUGCCAGCUCCUCUGAGAAGCCUUUCCCAGAGGCCUGCUUUGGCUCCUGACGUCCUUGUUCGUGUUCUCUGUAGCCGAUGGCAUGUAUAUUACCUAAUCACAGCAGCUUUGAAGGUGAAAGUUCCUCUGGUUCAUCCUGUUUCCUUCCUUCCGGUUGUGAACAUGGACUUACUGUUUGGAUGAAGAAAUGAAGAAACGGGAGAAAUACAGACAUAGAGAAGGAAGGUCAGAGAUGUUUGAUUUUGGAGGUGGAGAUGAGGAAUUGUGCCCAGUGCAUCGUGCCCUCUGUACUUUCCAAUGGAGUCAGUCAGCAAGAGGCUGACCAAAGCACUGGAGAGCCUGGCAUGCUGUGGCUUUGAAAUUUCC